AGAAGGUACAAACAUCGUGAUGGU
Molecule: non-coding RNA, 24 nt
Filed under: Arabidopsis thaliana (thale cress)
Lineage: Eukaryota; Viridiplantae; Streptophyta; Magnoliopsida; Brassicales; Brassicaceae
Source: RNAcentral